AGUGAACGCUGGCGGUAGGCCUAACACAUGCAAGUCGAACGGCAGCACAGUAAGAGCUUGCUCUUACGGGUGGCGAGUGGCGGACGGGUGAGGAUUACAUCGGAAUCUACUUUUUCGUGGGGGAUAACGUAGGGAAACUUACGCUAAUACCGCAUACGACCUACGGGUGAAAGCAGGGGAUCUUCGGACCUUGCGCGAUUGAAUGAGCCGAUGUCGGAUUAGCUAGUUGGCGGGGUAAAGGCCCACCAAGGCGACGAUCCGUGGCUGGUCUGAGAGGAUGAUCAGCCACACUGGAACUGAGACACGGUCCAGACUCCUACGGGAGGCAGCAGUGGGGAAUAUUGGACAAUGGGCGCAAGCCUGAUCCAGCCAUACCGCGUGGGUGAAGAAGGCCUUCGGGUUGUAAAGCCCUUUUGUUGGGAAAGAAAAGCAGCAGGUUAAUACCCCGCUGUUCUGACGGUACCCAAAGAAUAAGCACCGGCUAACUUCGUG
RNAcentral lists this ribosomal RNA (492 nucleotides) under uncultured bacterium. RNAcentral describes it as "partial 16S ribosomal RNA". It matches the Rfam family "Bacterial small subunit ribosomal RNA", at positions 29 to 507 of the family's 1533-position model. The record is from RNAcentral.